Molecule: ribosomal RNA, 111 nt
Filed under: Mus musculus (house mouse)
Lineage: Eukaryota; Metazoa; Chordata; Mammalia; Rodentia; Muridae
Source: RNAcentral
GUCUACAGCCAUACCACCCUGAACGCGCCUGAUCUUGUCUGAUCUUGGAAGCUAAGCAGGGUCGGGCCUGGUUAGUACUUGGAUGGGAGAAAAGGUUAAUGGUUAUAAGCU